Molecule: ribosomal RNA, 774 nt
Filed under: uncultured Neocallimastigales
Lineage: Eukaryota; Fungi; Neocallimastigomycota; Neocallimastigomycetes; Neocallimastigales
Description: partial large subunit ribosomal RNA
Rfam family: Eukaryotic large subunit ribosomal RNA
Source: RNAcentral
UACUAGAGUAGCACUCGCAUAUCAAUAAGCGGAGGAAAAGAAACUAACAAGGAUUCCCCUAGUAACGGCGAGUGAAGCGGGAAGAGCUCAAAUUUGAAAUCUUAAAGGGUUUCCCUUUACGAAUUGUAGUUUAAAGAAGUGUUUUCUGUUGAGGUUUUGGUAAAAGUUCUUUGGAAUAGGACAUCAUAGAGGGUGAGAAUCCCGUAUUUGACCUUUACUUUCUACUUUGUGAUACACUUUCAAAGAGUCGGAUUGUUUGGGAAUGCAGUCCAAAAUGGGUGGUAAAUUUCAUCUAAAGCUAAAUAUUGGCGAGAGACCGAUAGCGAACAAGUACCGUGAGGGAAAGAUGAAAAGAACUUUGAAAAGAGAGUUAAACAGUACGUGAAAUUGUCAAAAGGGAAGCGUUUGACACCAGUGUUGUUUUUCUGAAAAUCAAUUAAAGAACUGUUUAUGCUAAGUUGUUUAGACUUUAUCAGCUAUCUGUUUAGUUUUGAGCUUUUCUUUAAUGCACUUUUCAGUUAACAAGUCAACAUCAAUUUCUUUUGCUGUAAAAAAGCUUGAGGAAGGUGGCUUGAGAUUCGUCUUAAGUGUUUAUAGCCUCUUGCCUAUGCAGUCGGAGAGAUUGAGGUCUGCAGCGUAGAUCCUUCGGGGCUAAAUGCAUUUGCGCUAAGUUAUAGCAUUUUAUAGACAACUUGUUGACUAUGAUUUGUCUUGUAGCUUACUCGCUUAUGUUAUUUUACCUACGCUUAGGAUGUUGAGUAGCGACAUACGCAC